Carya illinoinensis is the source of this 3356-nucleotide RNA transcript. It is a transcript of the gene named two pore calcium channel protein 1A-like, with no coding region annotated. NCBI's taxonomy places the organism in Eukaryota, Viridiplantae, Streptophyta, Magnoliopsida, Fagales, Juglandaceae. The transcript has 25 exons. The record is from RefSeq and is a predicted model, not a curated record.
AAGGAGAGUGAAAGUGCAUGGGAAUAGGCAUGAGGGAUAGCUCAUGUUAGUCCAACUCGGAACACGUAACCGCGGACAAACAGCUUCCAAUUACACACGCUGUCUCAAUCAGGGUGUCACGAGUGUUCAUUACGUAACUAAUCUCGCUGUUCGUCGGACCAUCACCUUUUUCUCACACACACAAUCUCUCUCACUCCGCGUAUGAAACUUUGAUUGGAAGAAACUGGUGAUUUGUUGUCAAUUUCUUCUCUCUCUCUCUGCAACUAUCUUCCUCUCUCACAGAUCAUGGAGACGACUCUGCUCAGUGGAGAAAACAGUGGGACUGUCAAUCGCCGGAGAGAGCCGUCUACUCGGUCUCAUGCUAUUGCUCACGGCUCGCCUUAUGAAAAGGCUGCCGCACUGGUUGAUCUGGCUGAAGAUGGAAUUGGUCUACCUGAACAAAUUCUUGAUCAAUCAAACUUCCAGAAUGCUGCAAAAUUCUACUUCAUAUUUACUCGGCUUGAUUUCAUUUGGUUCCUUAAUUAUUUUGCAUUAAUAAUCCUAAAUUUCUUAGAGAAACCUUUAUGGUGUACCAACUAUUUCAAGUAUUCUUGCAACAAUAGGGAGUACUUUUAUCUUGGGCAGUUGCCCUACUUAACUGGUGCGGCGUCUCUUAUAUAUGAGGCCACAACUCUCAUCAUACUCAUCGUACAUACUUUCUUUCCAUUAUCAUUUGAAGGUUACCAUCUCUAUUGGAAAAGUCCCCUUAAUCGAGUAAAGGUGGCUUGCUUGUUACUCUUGGUUGCUGAUAUAUUGGUUUAUGCCCUCUGCUGGUCUCUCGAAGCCUAUGAUUUUCCUUCUUUUAGAAUCUCACCAUAUAUCAGAGUCGUGUUUUUCAUGCUGAACUUUAGGGAAUUAAGAGCAACCAUCAUAAUCCUGGCUGGAAUGCUUGGCACAUUCUUAAAUAUCUUGGCUUUAGGUCUAUUGUUUCUUCUGUUUUCGAGUUGGUUAGCCUUUGUAAUGUUUGAAGAUACCCAACAGGGAAAGACAGUAUUUACUUCAUAUGGCACUACUCUGUAUCAGAUGUUUGUUCUGUUCACCACAGCCAACAAUCCAGAUGUCUGGAUUCCUGCAUACAAGGCUUCGCGUUGGUAUUGUCUGUUUUUUGUUCUCUAUAUGCUAUUGGGGGUUUACUUUGUCACCAGCUUGAUCCUUGCUGUCGUAUAUGACAGCUUCAAAAGUCAGCUUGUGAAACAAGUUUCUGAGAUGGAUUCUACGAGGAGGCGUGUAUUGGGGAAAGCAUUCAAUCUCAUAGAUAAACAUAAUCGUGGAUUUAUUGACAAAGAGCAAUGUGUUCAACUGUUUCAGGAACUAAAUAAGUACAGGACUUUGCCUAAUAUAUCAGCGGAAGAAUUUGAAUUGAUUUUUGAUGAGCUGGAUGAUAGUCAAGACUUCAAGAUCAACUCGGAUGAAUUUGCUGACCUUUGCAAUGCCAUUGCUCUAAAAUUCCGGAAGGAAGAAUCUAUAUCUUACUUUGAAAAAUGUCCAUUCUACCAUUCACCCUUCUCUGAAAAAUUGAAAAGCUAUGUACGGAGUCCCAUAUUUGGUUACAUUGUAUCCUUCAUUCUUGUGCUGAAUCUGUUGGCUGUUAUUGUUGAAACAACGCUUGAUAUUGAAAACAAUUCUGCUCAAAAGGUGUGGCAAGAGGUUGAGUUUGUCUUUGGGUGGAUAUAUGUAUUCGAAAUGGCUCUAAAAGUCUAUUCAUUUGGAUUUGAAAAUUAUUGGAGGGAUGGUCAAAACCGUUUUGAUUUUCUCAUCACAUGGGUAAUAGUUAUUGGAGAAACCUUAACUUUUGUGACCCCUGAUGGACUAGCAUUUUUUUCCAAUGGAGAAUGGAUUCGCUACCUUCUCCUUGCAAGAAUGUUAAGGUUGAUAAGGCUACUGAUGUAUGUUCAGCGUUACCGUGCCUUCAUUGCCACUUUCAUAACCCUUAUACCAAGCUUGAUGCCAUACCUUGGGACCAUAUUUUGUGUCCUUUGUAUUUAUUGUUCUCUUGGUGUGCAGAUCUUUGGUGGAAUUGUCAAUGAUGGAAAUGCCAGUUUGGAAGGAACAGAACUUGCUGAUGACGAUUAUUUACUGUUCAAUUUCAACGACUAUCCAAAUGGGAUGGUGACACUUUUUAAUCUACUAGUUUUGGGAAAUUGGCAAAUAUGGAUGCAGAGCUACAAGGAAUUAACCGGAACGUCAUGGACACUCGCUUAUUUUGUCAGCUUUUACUUAAUAACAGUGUUACUGCUCUUGAAUUUGAUUAUAGCUUUUGUCUUGGAGGCAUUCUUUGCUGAAACGGAUCUUGAGUUAUCAGAAAACUGUAAUGAGCAGGACAAGGAAGUGGAUGGAGGAAAGGGGCGCCGACGAUCUGUGGGCACAAAAUCACGAAGCCAAAGGGUUGAUGCUCUUCUUCAUCAUAUGUUGAGUGCAGAGCUCGAACAACCUGAGUCUUCUAAUCCAUAGGUGCUAUUCAAGAUAGGAGCAGACACCCUCAACCCAAGGCUGAAUAUCUAAGCACCGUCACCAAACACGCCCUCAGUUUCAAUAUUAUUGGCAAAGGUGGCACUACUGGCAACCUCUGGCGACGGGAAAGUCACCGGAUAGUACAGAAGAUCGUGAGCUCAAAUCUGGCAGCCAUUACCUCAUAUGAUGCUGGAAACAACGUCAACCCAAGUGUUGCGCUAGAAAAAUCCGUUCCAACCACACCCAACGGCACCGUUGCACCACCAAUCGCCACAGAAAGUGUUGCGGCAACCACAAUUGACCCAUACCAACUGAAAACUGACGGUGUCAAACAACCACCACCCGGAAGAAACUCAGUUUGUUUCUUUUCUUUUUCUUUCUGAUAUAUGCAAUCAAACGGACAAAAUCAAAUGGAAUCAGCAACAAUCUAGAAAGCACACUCUGAUACCAUGUUGUAAAACAUGAUAUUUCCCCCUCUUUGCGAUCUUUAUUGAUUUGUGAAGCAAAAAUUAAAGAGGUGCUGGAACUGACUUCUCGUGGUGAAAAGGAGCAAUGUAAUAGCUUCAAGCAGUGUGCCAUGCACACGCCAAAGAGACCCUUUUUCAUGGAAUUUGUAUGGGACGAGGAAUACAUAUAUAGAUGCUACUAAUUUUUCAGUCUGGUUGAAGUCUGUGAGUAUGCAUAUUUUAUGUUCUCCCAUAGCACUACCAAUACAGUUUUUGUUAGAUUUGUAUUUGUUAUCGUAGCCCUAUUGGUGGCACGUGAAAAUUAACGGACGGAUGUUGGAACAUUUAUCAGCGGAAGAAUGUCUCAUAAUUUCUCAUAAUUUCUAGAAUAGUCUGCUUUAAUAUUUGAUUGAAGUUAAA